UGUUCGGCAAGAGCUAUUGCUACAGAUACAGAAUCAAUAUUAGAAAGCGGAAUGGCGUCUGAGUAUUUUGUAAGGUUGUCCUGGAGGGUAAGCAAGUAGCGGUUUUGUUUUUUUGUCAAAGAGAGCAUUUUAUACCUUUGGCAACUGGAGCAAGUACGUGUAAAAUUAGCAAUUUCCUUAAUCAUGUUUGGCCAAAAGAAAUCUGCUCUAAUUCUUUCAUAAAGUUUAUGGGCACCCUGGUGACCACCUACGGUUGACUCAUGGUAUUCUUUUAUGAUGAGAGGCCUAUUUGUUAGAGAUGAGAUGCUGAUACCUUUUACCUCCAAAGAAUCUAUGAGGUGUUUAAGGGAGCUUAAAGAAGAUUCAAGGUGAACAGGAUCUACUUGCUCUACCGAAGAUGCUUUUACAAAAAG
Molecule: non-coding RNA, 413 nt
Organism: Osmia lignaria (orchard mason bee)
Lineage: Eukaryota; Metazoa; Arthropoda; Insecta; Hymenoptera; Megachilidae
Source: RefSeq, a predicted model, not a curated record